Molecule: ribosomal RNA, 293 nt
Filed under: uncultured prokaryote
Description: partial 16S ribosomal RNA
Rfam family: Archaeal small subunit ribosomal RNA
Source: RNAcentral
GUGGCAGCCGCCGCGGUAAUACCGGCGGCCCGAGUGGUGGCCACUAUUAUUGGGCCUAAAGCGGCCGUAGCCGGGCCCGUAAGUCCCUGGCGAAAUCCCACGGCUCAACCGUGGGGCUCGCUGGGGAUACUGCGGGCCUUGGGACCGGGAGAGGCCGGGGGUACCCCCGGGGUAGGGGUGAAAUCCUAUAAUCCCGGGGGGACCGCCAGUGGCGAAGGCGCCCGGCUGGAACGGGUCCGACGGUGAGCGCGGAAGGCCAGGGGAGCGAACCGGAUUAGAUACCCGGGUAGUCC